CUUCCUCAGAAGUCUGAAUCCCAGUUCCUUGGCCAAACUCCUUUACGAUCUUAAGAUACCAGCACCAGCUAGACAACUCACUCUGCAGAGGUCUGAAACUCACCUCUCCAGGGUCUGUUCUCCAUGUUGCUAAGAUGCUAUCACCAACCGAGUAUCUCGCCCUUCUCAGAAGUCUGGCUCCCAGCUCUGCAAAGUUCUUUCUCUGAACUCCUGAGCCUUAAGUGUUUCUGGAAAUUGGGAGACACUUGCCAUGAAAUCAGAACAUCAUCAAACGGGAGAAUAUAGACCCUAUAAAAAAUGAUACACAGUAUCAUUCCAACAUUUUAAAGCAAGUGAAAUAUGGAUAAAAUAAAAACCAAGAACAGCAUUGAAUGGGGAAAGAGUUCAAGACAUGUAGCAGAGUAAAACAUGGCUGCUAUUCCCUGAGACAGACGAACUCCCUUGAGAAACCACAGGAGAGGCAUUGACUAGACUUUGGACUCUUACUGCCUUGAUUGAGUUAACAAUACCGAUGGAGUUCACCUACUGGCGAAUGAUAAACUGACCCAAAGAAAUUUAAAUAAAUUAUGUAGUUAAGCCUGACACCAUGGAAAACUCCCCUAGACUUCAUGUUGAAACUGGGUAUGAACUUAAGAUAUACUAUUUUGAUAAUGGGGUAGCAAAUGAUGUAGAUUGAGGUUGAUACCUUUAGCAAAGAUCACUGCUGUUGGAGUCAAGCCCAAGUCAAUCAAAGGGUGCAAACCCAAGAGCAACUAUCUCAAAACAAUGCAUCUAUGGCUGCUGAAUCAAAGUGCCCUCAAAACUGAAAUAUUCACGUAAGUGAUGAUGACUGUGUUACUGAUAUGGGCCUUUGAUGGAUCAAUAACAUUGGAAUUUUGUUUGGUUGAGCCAUGAACAGCUACCAUGUUGCUGGAGACUUAAAGUAAAUGUGCCUUAAUUAAUAGCAUAGCUCUCCUCUCACCUUCCACAUCUCCUGUUCCCUCUCUCCAUCUCUAGCCUGAACUCACCUGCUUGAAAAAAGAAAGAUAAUUGGGGGGAAAGGCUAAAGUUUCCUUGUCCCCAAGGGGGAUUGAAGUCCAUACAUACCCAUCCUAGUAAUCUGGGGAACUUUGGAGAAGGUAAGGACUCAAACUUUUACAGCUUUGUUAGGUACAGCCAUUGUAUAUUAUCCCAUGGGGGGAAAGGGACACCCAAUUCAACUGAUGGGGUUUGGGCAAAGUUUGCAGUGCGGAAAGAAAGUUAAAGUAACUUUGUAGGUGAGACCCUUUGGGUUAAUUCAAUAUAUUGUUGUCCUAGUUUUCC
Molecule: non-coding RNA, 1302 nt
Organism: Equus caballus (horse)
Lineage: Eukaryota; Metazoa; Chordata; Mammalia; Perissodactyla; Equidae
Source: RefSeq, a predicted model, not a curated record